AGAGUUUGAUCUUGGCUCAGGAUGAACGCUGGCGGCGUGCCUAAUACAUGCAAGUCGAGCGAAUCGAUUAAGAGCUUGCUCUUAUGAAGUUAGCGGCGGACGGGUGAGUAACACGUGGGUAACCUGCCCAUAAGACUGGGAUAACUCCGGGAAACCGGGGCUAAUACCGGAUAAUAUUUUGAACUGCAUGGUUCGAAAUUGAAAGGCGGCUUCGGCUGUCACUUAUGGAUGGACCCGCGUCGCAUUAGCUAGUUGGUGAGGUAACGGCUCACCAAGGCAACGAUGCGUAGCCGACCUGAGAGGGUGAUCGGCCACACUGGGACUGAGACACGGCCCAGACUCCUACGGGAGGCAGCAGUAGGGAAUCUUCCGCAAUGGACGAAAGUCUGACGGAGCAACGCCGCGUGAGUGAUGAAGGCUUUCGGGUCGUAAAACUCUGUUGUUAGGGAAGAACAAGUGCUAGUUGAAUAAGCUGGCACCUUGACGGUACCUAACCAGAAAGCCACGGCUAACUACGUGCCAGCAGCCGCGGUAAUACGUAGGUGGCAAGCGUUAUCCGGAAUUAUUGGGCGUAAAGCGCGCGCAGGUGGUUUCUUAAGUCUGAUGUGAAAGCCCACGGCUCAACCGUGGAGGGUCAUUGGAAACUGGGAGACUUGAGUGCAGAAGAGGAAAGUGGAAUUCCAUGUGUAGCGUGAAAUGCGUAGAGAUAUGGAGGAACACCAGUGGCGAACGCGACUUUUUGGUCUGUAACUGACACUGAGGCGCGAAAGCGUGGGGGAGCAAACAGGAUUAGAUACCCUGGUAGUCACGCGUAAACGAUGGGUGCUAAGUGUAGGCGUUUCCGCCUUUAAUGCUGAAGUUAACGCAUUAAGACUCCGCCUGGGAGUACGGCGAAGUGAACUUAAAGAUGCCGGGGCCGACAGCGUGAACCAUGGCUUAAUCCAGGCCGGAAACCUAUCUGGCUUGAAUUCUUUGGAACUUAAGAUAGGUUCUCUCGAACAAUGACGGGUCAUGUUUCCAACUGUCCGGAAUUGGUAAUCCCACAGAGUGAAUCCUG
RNAcentral lists this ribosomal RNA (1057 nucleotides) under Sinopodophyllum hexandrum. Its description in RNAcentral is "bacterial SSU rRNA". The stretch from base 2 to 880 matches the Rfam family "Bacterial small subunit ribosomal RNA", at positions 9 to 873 of the family's 1533-position model. Lineage: Eukaryota; Viridiplantae; Streptophyta; Magnoliopsida; Ranunculales; Berberidaceae. The record is from RNAcentral.